CUUGCACUGGACCUCAGACACUCUGAGGACAGAGCCCCAGUGUGAUUCAGCUCCAUACCCCUAUAUCCACAUGACUCAGCUCCGUACCCCUAUAUCCACGACUCAGCUCCAUAUCCCUAUAUCCACAACUCAGCUCCGUACCCCUAUAUUCACAUGACUCAGCUCCGUACCCCUAUAUCCACAUGACUCAGCUAUGUACCCCUAUAUCCACAUGACUCAGCGCCGUACCCCUAUAUCCACAUGACUCAGCGCCGUACCCCUAUAUCCACAUGACUCAGCUCUGUACCCCUAUAAUCCACAUGACUCAGCGCCGUACCCCUAUAUCCACGACUCAGCUCCGUACCCCUAUAUCCACAUGACUCAGCUCCGUACCCCUAUAAUCCACAUGACUCAGCUCCGUACCCCUAUAUCCACGACCCAGCUCCGUACCCCUAUAAUCCACAUGACUCAGCUCCGUACCCCUGUAUCCACAUGACUCAGCGCCGUACCCCUGUAUCCACGACUCGGCUCCAUACCCCGAUAUCCACGACUCGGCUCUGUGCCCCUAUAUCCACAACUCAGCGCUGUACCCCUACAUUCACGCAACUCAGCUCCGUACCCCUAUAAUCCACUUUACUCAGUGCCGUACCCCUAUAAUCCACAUUACUCAGCGCUGUACCCCUAUAUCUACAUGACUCAGAGCCUUACCCCAUAUCCAUGUGACUCAGCUCCUCACCCCUAUAUCCACGUGACUCAGCACCAUGCCCCUAUAAUCCACUUUACUCAGCGCUGUACCCCUAUAUCCACCGCACCUAGCGUGUGGGAAGUU
RNAcentral lists this long non-coding RNA (808 nucleotides) under Homo sapiens (human). RNAcentral describes it as "non-protein coding lnc-SPNS3-1:7". Lineage: Eukaryota; Metazoa; Chordata; Mammalia; Primates; Hominidae. The record is from RNAcentral.